RNAcentral lists this ribosomal RNA (256 nucleotides) under uncultured bacterium. RNAcentral's name for it is "partial 16S ribosomal RNA". It matches the Rfam family "Bacterial small subunit ribosomal RNA", at positions 1134 to 1389 of the family's 1533-position model. The record is from RNAcentral.
CUCUGUCUAGCGAGACUGCUCCUAAAAAGGGAGAGGAAGGUGGGGACGACGUCAAGUCAGCAUGGCUCUUACGCCCUGGGCUACACACACGCUACAAUGGCCGGUACAGAGGGUCGCGAUGAUGCGAGUCGGAGCUAAUCCCACAAAGCCGGCCCCAGUUGGAAUUGCAGGCUGCAACUCGCCUGCAUGAACGCGGAGUUGCUAGUAACCGCANGUCAGCACACUGCGGUGAAUACGUUCCCGGGCCUUGUACACA